RNAcentral lists this ribosomal RNA (253 nucleotides) under uncultured bacterium. RNAcentral describes it as "partial 16S ribosomal RNA". It matches the Rfam family "Bacterial small subunit ribosomal RNA", at positions 524 to 776 of the family's 1533-position model. The record is from RNAcentral.
UACAGAGGUCCCAAGCGUUACUGAGAAUCACUGGGUUUAAAGGGUGCGUAGGUGGUCCGUUAAGUCAGUUGUGAAAUCCCCGGGCUUAACCUGGGAACUGCAUUGGUGACUGGCAAGCUAGAGUGUGGCAGAGGGGGGUAGAAUUCCACGUGUAGCAGUGAAAUGCGUAGAGAUGUGGAGGAAUACCGAUGGCGAAGGCAGCCCCCUGGGCCAACACUGACGCUCAUGCACGAAAGCGUGGGGAGCAAACAGG